This is a long non-coding RNA of Hippocampus zosterae (dwarf seahorse), 1656 nucleotides long. RefSeq lists it as uncharacterized. NCBI's taxonomy places the organism in Eukaryota, Metazoa, Chordata, Actinopteri, Syngnathiformes, Syngnathidae. The record is from RefSeq and is a predicted model, not a curated record. The transcript is spliced from 2 exons.
UUCAAGUUUGCUAUUCCAUUUCGACAAGUACCGAAGAUAAUUAUACUCGAGCUACACCCCGGAGAUUCCAUAUUUUGGGACAGUCAUUUUGGCCGUCAUUGCAAUAUACGUUUAUUAUUAUGGAUGUAAAAAUAAACACCAAAGAACAGGUUGAAUCGAGCAUGAGCUACCUAGCUGGCUAGUGGCUAGCAACCGCCGAACCGUGAAGCGCGUGCCACAGAGAGGAACGGGGGUGCGCGCACAUCAUCAUCAUCAUCAGCGGCAAGACCAUCAUCAUCAUCAGCACCAUAAGAUUUUGCUUUCCUUUUACCUCGUCGUCACGGAAGGGACCCGUUCCGCCUAGGCGAGAGGCGACUGGCAUAACCCGCGUCAGUCAGCGCGAGUAAUCUUUUUCGACGUCCAUAUUGGUCAAGUCUCGGGAAUAAAAUGUCAAAAGUGUAUCUCUCUUUGGUGAUAUUGGUUGCUUUUCGUAGGUAUUGACGAAACAAACAAACGAUCGUCUUCUGCAGCUUGACAGUCAAAAGCGGCCAUGCAGCAGCACUCCACCAAUCACAGCGCGGGAUAACACGGCACUUCCGUUUACGUCAUUUAACGCUUAUAUUACGUAAUGAAGAUGGUGCAAACUACGGAAGCUCGACAAAGAUAAACAUUUUUUUUAACCAUGUUCGGUGUUUUGUGAAAGUUUUUCAUUCAUCUCAUUGGCAAUGAUACAAGUGUUGUAUGCUUUUAAAAUUAUUAUUCGCCAGAUAAAUAAAAUUUAUCCUUAUGUAUCAAGCGAUCAACUUUAUAUUCAGAGCACUUGAAAACAACGCGGUGUCACAGCUGUAGUUUUUGUUAAAGUAAUGUAUGUAUUGUUUAACCAUUGCUGUAAGAACUGUACGUGGAAUAACAUUUAUUCAUACAGUAACAGACAAUUGAAAGAAUAAAUUAUUAACGUCGAGGCCAUACAUCGUGUUUACGUCAGUACUGUAUCUUCAAGACAGGUGCAAUUGAUAGGAAUGAUAGUUCCUUGGGAGGAUCCCAAAGAGCAGUCUUCUCAAAACAUGAUUGACGCUUACUCUCAUUCGCAAAAGACAACCAAAUGUUCAAGAUUGUGUUUAUUUGCCCAAAUACUUGAACUACAAGGACAUCAUCAUUAACACCCUCUGCUAUAGAAAACAUUUUUUGUCAAAUGAUCAGCAGUACAAAUUUGUAAAGCUCCCCCCUCCCACCCCCUACCUUUAAACAUCUCUCCCUCUCAAGGAAAACAAAACCAAGCAACGGACGGGAGAAAAGAAAACCACUCCAUACAAAAUUAAAACAGUAUUUACAAGAAUACAGUUUCCCCCCUCCUUUUAAACGUUGAUUCAGUCACAACUAAGCGUCUCAAAACGAUAUAUAACUGUCAGUUCUGGUGUGUGUGAUCACCAAGCAAAAACGUCCAAUAUUAACAUUCAUGAUGUAGUCUGUGUCGUCCACGAUACUAAGUGCAGAUUUGCGGGGAGAUAACCAGCGUUAAACACCAUUGUAAUGAGCCAAUUUAGAAUAUAGAUAUUUAAAAUAAUAAAACAUGCAUGUGGGGGAACAAGGUGAGCGUUGCACAACAAGCUGGUUUAUUUGUUGUUUGGCCAGAAAAUGAACAUCAAACCUGAAAUAAAACGUACAGUCCCGCUAUAU